This 254-nucleotide ribosomal RNA is filed under the name uncultured bacterium. RNAcentral's name for it is "partial 16S ribosomal RNA". It matches the Rfam family "Bacterial small subunit ribosomal RNA", at positions 524 to 776 of the family's 1533-position model. The record is from RNAcentral.
UACGUAGGUGGCUAGCGUUGUCCGGAUUUACUGGGCGUAAAGAGCUCGUAGGUGGUUCGGUAAGUCGGAUGUGAAAUCUCCAGGCUCAACCUGGAGGGGUCAUUCGAUACUGCCGUGACUAGAGGUCGGUAGGGGAGUGUGGAAUUCCUGGUGGAGCGGUGAAAUGCGCAGAUAUCAGGAGGAACACCCGUAGCGAAGGCGGCACUCUGGGCCGAUACUGACACUGAGGAGCGAAAGCGUGGGGAGCGAACAGG